Molecule: small RNA, 76 nt
Filed under: Xanthomonas vasicola
Lineage: Bacteria; Pseudomonadati; Pseudomonadota; Gammaproteobacteria; Lysobacterales; Lysobacteraceae
Also listed under: 14 other names
Description: sX9 sRNA
Rfam family: Xanthomonas sRNA sX9
Source: RNAcentral
AUGUACCACUCGUACACCGCGGUUACUCCGCGCCGUCCACGCCUACCUGACGACUGCUCGCUACAUUUUGUUAGCC